UUACUUGGUUGAUCGAACCCCCUUGCUUCCCCUAAGCUAUCUUGUUCCAUUGAGUUUCAUCUUGUUUGCGGUUUUAUCGAGAGAGAGCGAAGGCCAACUCGAUCGACCCUAGUUCGUGCGUACGUGUGACCCUUGGAGCGUAUAUCAUCUGGUAUCAGAGCCGAAAGGUUCUACACCCUAGGUUGUAUCACUCCAUCUCCAUUCCCCUUAGCUAUUGUUUCGUUUAUUCUAAGUCAAAAAAAAAAAAGAAAUAGUAUCUCGUAGUUGCACUUGUUUUCGAUUGUUAGGUUGCUAGUCUCGAUUUGCAUCACUUAUAUUUAAAUAAAAAAAAAAAAAAAAAAUAGUUAGUGGUAAUCUUGUAGUUGUUUGAGUUAAUCGUUAGUUAAGUUCAAAAAAAAAAAGAAGAAAUUGUCAAUUUUCAGUUUGUUCUUGUUCGAUUUUGUUUAUUAUCCGUUCGUUGAUACUUGCUAUUUUUGUCACUUCUUUUGCAUACACAGAUGGAGAACAACACCGAAGCUCCCUUGGAUCCUAUUGCAGCCACAUUAGCUGCUAUCCAAGCCACCCUCCAAACGUUUGGAGACC
RNAcentral lists this long non-coding RNA (582 nucleotides) under Capsella rubella. Its description in RNAcentral is "long non-coding RNA (CRUB_LNC003840)". The record is from RNAcentral. Lineage: Eukaryota; Viridiplantae; Streptophyta; Magnoliopsida; Brassicales; Brassicaceae.